GAUGAAUGCUGGCGGCGUGCCUAACACAUGCAAGUCGAGCGGCAGCGCGCGGAGUUUACUCUGUGGCGGCGAGCGGCGGACGGCUGAGUAACGCGUGGGAACAUGCCCCAAAGUGAGGAAUAACUGCCCGAAAGGGUGGCUAAUACAGCAUAUGGUCUUCGGAUUAAAGGGUUUAUCCGCUUGGGGAGUGGCCUGCGUACGAUUAGAUUGUUGGUGAGGUAAUGGCUCACCAAGUCGACGAUCGUUAACUGGUCUGAGAGGAUGAUCAGUCAGACUGGAACUGAGACACGGUCCAGACUCCUACGGGAGGCAGCAGUGAGGAAUCUUCCACAAUGGGCGAAAGCCUGAUGGAGCAACGCCGCGUGCAGGAUGAAGGCCUUCGGGUUGUAAACUGCUUUUAUAAGUGAAGAAUAUGACGGUAACUUAUGAAUAAGCACCGGCUAACUACGUGCCAGCAGCCGCGGUA
RNAcentral lists this ribosomal RNA (466 nucleotides) under uncultured bacterium. RNAcentral's name for it is "partial 16S ribosomal RNA". It matches the Rfam family "Bacterial small subunit ribosomal RNA", at positions 28 to 522 of the family's 1533-position model. The record is from RNAcentral.